GGACGGGUGAGUAACGCGUGAGUAACCUGCCUUUCAGAGGGGGAUAACGUUCUGAAAAGAACGCUAAUACCGCAUAACAUCAAUUUAUCGCAUGAUAGGUUGAUCAAAGGAGCAAUCCGCUGGAAGAUGGACUCGCGUCCGAUUAGCCAGUUGGCGGGGUAACGGCCCACCAAAGCGACGAUCGGUAGCCGGACUGAGAGGUUGAACGGCCACAUUGGGACUGAGACACGGCCCAGACUCCUACGGGAGGCAGCAUG
RNAcentral lists this ribosomal RNA (257 nucleotides) under uncultured bacterium. Its description in RNAcentral is "partial 16S ribosomal RNA". It matches the Rfam family "Bacterial small subunit ribosomal RNA", at positions 100 to 353 of the family's 1533-position model. The record is from RNAcentral.